CACGGGAGGAGGUUGGCGUCGUCGGAGUCUCUUGUGCUGCUUGGAGGGUCGAAGCGGCUCCUGGGAGCAGGUGGAGAGAGACAAGGGAGAGAAUAACAAGAACAGAGUUUUCAGGUGGAAAAAAUAGAUUAUGUGGAACUCAAGAAAAUAUUGCACAAAAAGGUAAAAAGAUAGAAUUACCAAAUGCAGAAAAAGUGGAAAAUAGGAAAAAUCCA
This 215-nucleotide long non-coding RNA is filed under the name Naja naja (Indian cobra). Its description in RNAcentral is "lncRNA (ENSNNAG00000011310.1)". The record is from RNAcentral. Lineage: Eukaryota; Metazoa; Chordata; Lepidosauria; Squamata; Elapidae.